This 8928-nucleotide long non-coding RNA is filed under the name Malus domestica (apple). Its description in RNAcentral is "long non-coding RNA (MDOM_LNC006805)". Lineage: Eukaryota; Viridiplantae; Streptophyta; Magnoliopsida; Rosales; Rosaceae. The record is from RNAcentral.
GGGCAGAAAUGCCCAAUCGGAGAAGAAGAAGGUGAGAGCAAACCAGAAGAAGGGAGAGGAAGAAGCUGACCAAUCAGGGGACGGAAAGGAGGGAAAGGAGGGAAAGGAGGGAGAGUGGUGGCGCGGGGAACAGGAGGAAUGGGUCACCCUUGACCCGCGCGACCCAAGCUUCCAAAUCGGCGGGUUUUUCGCCAUUUCCGUCCAAAUUUCCGACGAAUUGAGUCAAGGUACCACUCCUAAUCAUCAUCUAGGCCUUCCCUCUUUACGUUUCACCCAAGAAUCAUUGAAUUUCGUUGUGAUUUCGCGAAGAACACCCCUACGGGUGCCGCGACCCUUUUGUUUAAAUUCUCCAAAUUUUGAAAUGUUUUCUUUUCAAUUACUAACACCUUUAGCAUUCCUUUAGGACCUAGAACAAAGCCCAAGAGGUAAUUGAGGCGUUGGAACAAGUUUGAAGGUCGAAUUGGAAACACCCAAAUUCUAGGGUUCUUCACGGUUUUGGUGAAAUUGAAGCACUUCCAGGCCAAAUUGGCCUUGGUCUCAGGUAUGAAAGUUGUUUCUACUCAUUGAGAUCUUCAAAUCUGCAAAUUUUGGUAAUUUUUGGAAAUAGUUGAAUUUUCCGGCGAGCCGGGGGCGGCCAACCGCCACCCGCGGCGGCCCGCGCGGCGGCGCGUGGCCAAUGGCCGCCAAUGUCAUUAUUAGCUUGUGAUUAAGGUUCUAGGUUCUGUUUUGAUAAUUGAUGGACGUAAAUUGAAUAAUUGAACCUAAGUUGGUUACGAUUCGGGGUUAGGUGAAAAUGUGAAUUGACGAUCCGACCGUUGGAUCGUCAUCAAACUUUGAUACGUUGUAAUACGUAAUAUUUGAGGAUUAUAGGAACUUACGGAUUGGGAAUCCGAUUUACGGAUAUUCCGGAAUUGGAAUUGUAAGUUCAUAAAAUAGAAUGUUAACCCGUCACUUAGUUUUGGAAAUUGACGGAGAUCCGACCGUUGGAUGGUAACGAAAAUUUUAGGAUGUUGUCCUAGAGGUAUAUUGUGGACCUCUGGAAGUUUCGGAUUUGAAAUCUGAAUUGCAGAUCAUCCGGAUCGAACUACGUAGUGACGUGUCUUAUAUAAGUUAUGUAUUCUAUCGGCAGGAUUUCUGAGGUUGGGUUUGAUUAUUGUUCUAGGCGCUAAUCUUCAUGACGCCUUGAUGUGUGGUGCUAGGGAGUUGUUGAGCGAACUCCAGGUGAGUGGGCAGUUUUUUGUUUUCGUAUUACCUUUAUACUAUAAAUUUUUUCCCAGAAGAUGAAUUUAUACGAAAUUAUGUUUUGAAAAUGCCAUGCAUAGAAUUAUUUGGAAAAGGUGAAUUUCACAUGAGUUAUAUGAUUGAUAUAUGAUGCAUACAUGUUGCAUGGUGCUGUGGAGGCACAGGUAAGUCAGGUGAGUUCAUUAUUCAUUUAAUUGAUUGUUGAUAAGAUGUUUCAAGCUCAUAAACCUGCACCCUAGGUGUUAGUGCUUAUUUUAUUCACCACACCGCACGCUCGCCUUGGAUCCAAGUAGGUGGAUGUCGUACAGACCAUGUGAGGGUUCCGACAUGCUAGUCGUAUAGAUCACUAGGCGUGAUUCCGACUAGUGGGUGAUCUUAGUUAUGCGCGCUGAUGAUUGAUGAGAGAAGCACUAGAGCGUAUUUUUACACCUUUCAUCGUACAGACUACCUUACGUAGUUCCGAGUGAUGUGCAGAGUAGGGCCGUAUAGGUCACUGUGGUGACUCCGGCUUAGUGAGAUAUUGAGCUAUUGAAUUAAUCGUAUAGGACCAACUGCAGGGUCUCCGAUUGAUUCCUUAUUUCACCUGAUUUAUAUUUUGAUUUAUGGCAUGGCAUGUUUUUCUUGAAAAAUGUUAAAGAUUUGGGAUUCAAGUUUUGAGAUUUCAUAUGGUUAUAUAUAUAUAUUUUUCUGAAAAGUGUUAAAGGUUUGAGAUUUGAGAUUUUUGCUUAUAUAUAUGUUUAUAUAUAUGCUAUUUUCUGGGAAAGUAUACAGGUUUUACGGUGAGGGGUUAGAAAUAUUUUAAAUGAAAAGUUUUCGAAAAACUUUGUUUUACUGACCCACUCAAUUUUGUUUUGCGCCCCUCCAGGUUCAAGUUAGCAGAGCUUUGGUGGCCACGAGGAAUCCAACGGUGUUCUGACAGAAUUCACAAAAGUAGGACUCACCCUCGGGUGUGUCAUCUUAGUAAUUGGAAAUUUUUUUUAAAGCUUCUGAACUAUGUAAAUGGUUACGUCACUCUCACGUGACGGCCAGCACGCCCUCCUUCGGGACGGGGUGUGUCAGUUGGUAUCAGAGCCUAGGUUGCAAUUCUGGACAUCUUGAGAAUUUCCUAGUGUCUUCUGUCAGAACUAUACCGCCUCAUAGCGAGCCACGUAGUUCGGAUGAGCCUAAAUUCCCUGAUAUAGUAGUUUGGGGGGAAAUUAUUGUCACUAUGAUUCAGUCUAUUAUCUAAAGGAACCUUUGAGACUGAUUAUAAGUUAAAUUUGAAUACAGACUUGCCUUGUUUCCAUUCGGGAUGUUGUUACUAAUCCGGUCGAGGUGUUAUGUCGUUUUUGGCGGGAUAAUAAGAAGAAGUGACGUUCUUUGGCGACCACAAUCCAUUGUACUUUUUUACCAGGAGUUUACGAGAUGUUGUUGGGCUUUGAGGACUUUGAGAAUAUGAUCAGCGAGAGUAAAGAAGAAUAAGAAAAGAAUGGUAAUUAGAGGAAAGGUGAGAAAGUUAAAGAUCCGUCAUAUCAAGGACGUCGAAAGACUCAGAGCUUCAAAAGAAGUGAAGUUAGAACUAAUUCUUCCAACUGAGGUUUUAGUGCCACUGGUCCGAGGCGAAGUGAUAGAUUUACGGGUGAUCCCAGAUCUUAAAGACAAGGGGUGACUCGAGUAAGGGAAAUGUACCUUUGUGCCAUAGGUAUAAUAUUAGACACUUUGGAGAGUGUGGGAAUCAGUGAAUGUGUUCAUGUGGAUGGAUGGGACAUAGAGGUAUGAAUUGUCCCUGGAAUCAGUUGUUACCCAAUAGUCUUCCUUAACAUAUCACUUGGAAAUAUUGACGAGUAAGUCGUACAGGUCACUAUAUGUGACUCCGACUUAUGUGCUAGCAUGGAUGGUCGAGUUGUAGACUCAGUCGUACAGGUCAUUCUAGCUGACUCCGGCUGAUAUAUUUCUUAUUAUGGUCGAUGUUGCCAAAGAAAGUAAUGUUGGAGCACGAUCGAGGCGUAUUUAUGUAUUUCUAAGGAAGAACAAGAUGAUAAUAUUACACCCCUCAGGAAUUGUUACUUAGUUAUCGAGACAACAGUGAGUUAUUUGUAUUGCGGGCUGCAGACCGUAAUAUUUAUAACUUAUUUGUUGGAUUCGUUAAGUAAGUAAACAAGUAAGGCACUUUAUGUUGAUUUGGUUUAUUAAGGGUGUCCAGUGAUGGUGAAAAAUGUCAUGUCAGUGAAUUUUAUUCCGUUGGAUAUUAUGGAUUUUGAGGUGAUUUUUUUUGGCACCAGUGCGUGCAGUAUAAUUGUGUCAAGCUAGAUUGCUAUGGGGAAUCAGUUAAUUUUUGUUGACCUGGAUGACCAGAGGUUACUUUUAGGGGUAAGUAAAGUGGAGUGAGUUAUGCCAUUAUUCCUGUUGAGAGAGCAAAGAAGAUUGUUAUCAAAAGGCUGCCAAGAUAUUGAGUUCAUAUGGUGCUAAAUGAUGUUGAUCCUAAUAGUAUGGAAGAUGUAAAGAUGGUUAGACAUUUUCUUGGUGUAUUCCCAGAUGACUUACCUAGAUUGCCGCCAGGCAGAGAUGUGGGUUCCAUUAUUGAAUUGUUUUUAGGUACAAAUCCUAUGUUAGAAAUUGGUUCAGGUUGAGUUAAAAGUUCCAUUCAACUUAUUAUAUCACAUUGGAAAAGCUCCGGUUUAUUUGUGAGGAAGAAAGUGGACAUUAAGGCUAGGCAUUGAUAUUAGGUAAUUGAAUCGGGUAACGAUUGAGAGCUGUUAUCCAUUGUUGUGUAUUAAUGAUUAUUUGAUCAGCUCUGAGGCGCCUGGGUACUUUCUGAGACUGACUUGAGGUCUGAAUGAUAUUAGUUGAAGAUUAACAGUGGGGAUGUCCAUAAGACUGAAUCCAGGACUCGUUAUGGUCAUUUCAAGUUGGGAUGCCAUACGGAGUGACGAAUGCACCUACUAUUUUUAUGAGCUUACUGAAGGAAGUAUUCCAGUGAUAUCUAGAUCGGUUUGUUGUUGUUGCCAUUGACGAGAUUGAUAAGAUUAGAGCAGUGCAUGCUAGAUAUUUUAAAGUUGGGUGUUGCAAAGAUUGAAGGAACGUUGAUGUAUGCUAAGUUUAGCAAAUGCUAAUGUUGGAUAAAUUAAUUAUAUCUACUUAAGGUAUUCAAGUGGAUUCUUAAAAGAGUAGCAACGAUUGAGAAUUUGGAACAAUUGCGAACCGUGACUGAGGUUUAGAGUUUUCUCGGAUUAGCAGGAUAUUGUCGAUAGUUCGUCCAAGAUUUUAAUUAUUGCUUCGCCCUUGGCGAGAUUGAUGAGAAAAGAGGUUAAGUUUGAGUGGGAUGAAAAAUUGUGAGUAGAGCUUCAGCAAGUAAAGUAUUCCCUCACUCAUGCAUCUGUUUUCGCACUCCCAAACGAUAGUGGUAAUUACGUAGUCUAUAGUAAUACUUCUUUGAAUGUUCUUGAAUGCGCGUUGAUGCAACAUGGUAGGAUGAUUGCCUAUGCUUCAUGGCCAUUGGGAUCUCAUAAGAUGAAUUACCCUAAUUAUAAUUUGGAAUUAGCAGCUAUCAUCUUUGCUUUGAGAAUUUGGAGACAUUGUCUUUAUGGGAAGAAAAGUGCAUGAUUGUUACAAAUCAAAAGAGUACCCAAUAUCUGUUUAUUCAGAGGUAUCUUAAUCUUAGGCAACAAAGGUGGAAUGAGUUGCUUAGUGAUUAUGAUUGUGUGACGAGGGUGGUCAAGCUAAUGUUGUGGCUGAUGCAUUUAGUAGGAAGACCCCAGUGAGAAUUAAUGCUUGGUAUGCUUGCUAUGUUCAUCUUCUUGUGGAUUUGAAAUCUACUGGAGUAAAGUUGAGUAUCAAAAAUCGAGAAGAAGCCUUACUUGCUAAUUUCUAAGUUGGACCCAUUUGGUAGAUCGUACUCGAUACUCAAGCGUUUGACGAAGAAAUUCAAGAAUUUAUUUAAAGCAAGGAAUAACGGGAUAAAGAAGGACCUUAGAGUUAGAGAAUCAGAUGGCAAGCUUAUGCAAGGGAACAAAGUGUUUAUGCCUAAUGGUGUGGAAUUAAAUAAAGCAAUUUUGACGAUGUACAUUAUUCCACUUCUACAAUGCAUCCCAAAAGUACUAAGAUUUAUCAUACCAUUCGUUCAUGUACUAUUGACGGGUAUGAAAAGAGGAACGGCGAAGUAUGUUAGUAGGCGUAUCAUCAGUCAUCAGGUUAAAGCAGAAAGAAAUAAGUCUUUUGGAAUAAUGUAGUCAUUUCCCAUUCCACGGCGGAAAUGGGAGAAUAUUACUAUGGAUUUCAUGGACAAGCUUCCUCGUAUACCAAAUAGUUAGGUUGGAGUUUGAAUAAUAAUUGAUUGAUUUGUGACGUCAGCGCAUGUUACUUCAGUAUGAGAACAUCAACCUUUCCAGAUAAGCGCAACAGUCAUUUAUUUGUUUUAUGGAAAAAGGAGAUUGGGAUCUGUUAAACUUCUUGGGUAUGUUGGUUCCUUCAGUUUGUUCCCUAGAGUAACGCCAUAAGGCCGUGGAAAGCUAUGUCUUGUGUUUCGAAAUUGUUAGAAUUGGGGACGGAUGAUAUUCAAGACUCUGAGUUUGGUGAAAAUUUAUGGAGGAAUCUUUCAGUGGAAGAAAACUACUUGAAAGUCAAAGAAUCGAAUGAGAGAGAUGUGUGUUUCGGGCUGUUUCAUGGAUAUUGAUGGAUUGUAAAGAUUGUGUAAAUUUCGAGGACGAAAUUUCUGUAAGGUGGGUAGAUUGUGACAGCCCGUCCCUAAUUUUAAGAAUUUUUAAAGUUUUAAUAAAGGAUUUUACAAAAAUGCCCUUCGAGGCACGCACAUCAUUCGAGGUUAAUCGUUGUGUCGUGCCAUCUAAGAUUUGUUUUCUUGACAUAUCCUCGUAGUACUCGUCGUUACGGACGUGUGGGCGCAGACGGUUCGUGAUUUGGAGUUAUAUCGAAGAAGUUAUUAACGUUUGAAAUUUGGAAUUUUAAGGAAUUAUAAUUUUAGUAAAAUAUAGAAAUUCUUUUAUGAAAUUGGACGGCCCAGAUUUAUUGAUGAAUGAAAUGGAUGGCUGGGAUGAGGGAAAGGUUUUUGGUGUGUGUAUGUGUAUGAGAAGAAGAAACAGAAAACAGAAAAGAAGAAGAGACUGGGCAGAAAUGCCCAAUCGGAGAAGAAGAAGGUGAGAGCAAACCAGAAGAAGGGAGAGGAAGAAGCUGACCAAUCAGGGGACGGAAAGGAGGGAAAGGAGGGAAAGGAGGGAGAGUGGUGCGCGGGGGAACAGGAGGAAUGGGUCACCCUUGACCCGCGCGACCCAAGCUUCCAAAUCGGCGGGUUUUCGCCAUUUCCGUCCAAAUUUCCGACGAAUUGAGUCAAGGUACCACUCCUAAUCAUCAUCUAGGCCUUCCCUCUUUACGUUUCACCCCAAGAAUCAUUGAAUUUCGUUGUGAUUUCGCGAAGAACACCCCUACGGGUGCCGCGACCCUUUUGUUUAAAUUCUCCAAAUUUUGAAAUGUUUUCUUUCAAUUACUAACACCUUUAGCAUUCCUUUAGGACCUAGAACAAAGCCCAAGAGGUAAUUGAGGCGUUGGAACAAGUUUGAAGGUCGAAUUGGAAACACCCAAAUUCUAGGGUUCUUCACGGUUUUGGUGAAAUUGAAGCACUUCCAGGCCAAAUUGGCCUUGGUCUCAGGUAUGAAAGUUGUUCUACUCAUUGAGAUCUUCAAAUCUGCAAAUUUUGGUAAUUUUUGGAAAUAGUUGAAUUUUCCGGCGAGCCGGGGCGGCCAACCGCCACCCGCGGCGGCCCGCGCGGCGGCGCGUGGCCAAUGGCCGCCAAUGUCAUUAUUAGCUUGUGAUUAAGGUUCUAGGUUCUGUUUUGAUAAUUGAUGGACGUAAAUUGAAUAAUUGAACCUAAGUUGGUUACGAUUCGGGGUUAGGUGAAAAUGUGAAUUGACGAUCCGACCGUUGGAUCGUCAUCAAACUUUGAUACGUUGUAAUACGUAAUAUUUGAGGAUUAUAGGAACUUACGGAUUGGGAAUCCGAUUUACGGAUAUUCCGGAAUUGGAAUUGUAAGUUCAUAAAAUAGAAUGUUAACCGUCACUUAGUUUUGGAAAUUGACGGAGAUCCGACCGUUGGAUGGUAACGAAAUUUUAGGAUGUUGUCCUAGAGGUAUAUUGUGGACCUCUGGAAGUUUCGGAUUUGAAAUCUGAAUUGCAGAUCAUCCGGAUCGAACUACGUAGUGACGUGUCUUAUAUAAGUUAUGUAUUCUAUCGGCAGGAUUUCUGAGGUUGGGUUUGAUUAUUGUUCUAGGCGCUAAUCUUCAUGACGCCUUGAUGUGUGGUGCUAGGGAGUUGUUGAGCGAACUCCAGGUGAGUGGGCAGUUUUGUUUUCGUAUUACCUUUAUACUAUAAAUUUUUCCCAGAAGAUGAAUUUAUACGAAAUUAUGUUUUGAAAAUGCCAUGCAUAGAAUUAUUUGGAAAAGGUGAAUUUCACAUGAGUUAUAUGAUUGAUAUAUGAUGCAUACAUGUUGCAUGGUGCUGUGGAGGCACAGGUAAGUCAGGUGAGUUCAUUAUUCAUUUAAUUGAUUGUUGAUAAGAUGUUUCAAGCUCAUAACCUGCACCCUAGGUGUUAGUGCUUAUUUUAUUCACCACACCGCACGCUCGCCUUGGAUCCAAGUAGGUGGAUGUCGUACAGACCAUGUGAGGGUUCCGACAUGCUAGUCGUAUAGAUCACUAGGCGUGAUUCCGACUAGUGGGUGAUCUUAGUUAUGCGCGCUGAUGAUUGAUGAGAGAAGCACUAGAGCGUAUUUUUACACCUUUCAUCGUACAGACUACCUUACGUAGUUCCGAGUGAUGUGCAGAGUAGGGCCGUAUAGGUCACUGUGGUGACUCCGGCUUAGUGAGAUAUUGAGCUAUUGAAUUAAUCGUAUAGGACCAACUGCAGGGUCUCCGAUUGAUUCCUUAUUUCACCUGAUUUAUAUUUUGAUUUAUGGCAUGGCAUGUUUUUCUUGAAAAAUGUUAAAGAUUUGGGAUUCAAGUUUUGAGAUUUCAUAUGGUUAUAUAUAUAUAUUUUUCUGAAAAGUGUUAAAGGUUUGAGAUUUGAGAUUUUUGCUUAUAUAUAUGUUUAUAUAUAUGCUAUUUUCUGGGAAAGUAUACAGGUUUUACGGUGAGGGGUUAGAAAUAUUUUAAAUGAAAAGUUUUCGAAAAACUUUGUUUUACUGACCCACUCAAUUUUGUUUUGCGCCCUCCAGGUUCAAGUUAGCAGAGCUUUGGUGGCCACGAGGAAUCCAACGGUGUUCUGACAGAAUUCACAAAAGUAGGACUCACCCUCGGGUGUGUCAUCUUAGUAAUUGGAAAUUUUUUUUAAAGCUUCUGAACUAUGUAAAUGGUUACGUCACUCUCACGUGACGGCCAGCACGCCCUCCUUCGGGACGGGGUGUGUCAUUAAGUCUAGUUGUUAUAAUGCUCAUCCGACUAUUAACUGAGCCUUUGCUUUGAAUUCGGUAUUAAGCCAAGUUUAGCAUUUUAAUAGUAUAAUUAUAAUAAUAAAGUACCUUGAAUAUGGAAGUCAUCAACAACUAAAGCACACACUUGUUUAAUUUGUAUGAACACUGUAUAUUAUUGUUUUUGUAGACCCUGUCAACCACAACCAGUAAGAAUAUAUUAUCCUAGACACCUAACUAUAACUAGCAUAAAAAGAAGAUUAGCCUAUAUUUCUAACUAUAACUAGCAUAACAAGAAU